Cinara cedri is the source of this 457-nucleotide non-coding RNA. The record is from the annotation of a GenBank genome assembly. Lineage: Eukaryota; Metazoa; Arthropoda; Insecta; Hemiptera; Aphididae.
UGGCCUUUAAACAGGCAUAUGAUGUUCUAAUGUUCUGAAGUUUUUUCAAUUCGUACUCUGUCUAUCUUCCUCUCUCGGUCACACUAUUAAUGGGUACAGGUAUUCUUUCACGUAGAUUUAAGAUAUAGUGUGAAUAGACGUACACAGACCACAAAUACCAUAAAACCAUGAAGUCAUUACACGAACAGCGUAUUUUCGGUUUCACCAAAGAAAUAUUAGACGUAUAGGUAUGUAUCAACGAUCAGUAAAGCAGUGAUAUCAAAUCUCGCGAACGUGAUUCAAUUCGUAUUUGUCAUGACUAAUCGACUCGGUCGCUGCUAUUUUACAAAUUCAACUUUACUCGACAGAUGGAUAUUUUUUAUACUGUGGUUGAUUUCCAGUAGUUUUACAUUCGUUUUUCAUAGUUAUCACGGAGGGGGGGCGGUAGAGGGAAUUGUAUAAAUGUUUAUUCUUCCGU